GGCGAACGCUGGCGGCGUGCUUAACACAUGCAAGUCGAACGGAAAGGCCCUGCUUUUGUGGGGUGCUCGAGUGGCGAACGGGUGAGUAACACGUGAGUAACCUGCCCUUGACUUUGGGAUAACUUCAGGAAACUGGGGCUAAUACCGGAUAGGAGCUCCUGCUGCAUGGUGGGGGUUGGAAAGUUUCGGCGGUUGGGGAUGGACUCGCGGCUUAUCAGCUUGUUGGUGGGGUAGUGGCUUACCAAGGCUUUGACGGGUAGCCGGCCUGAGAGGGUGACCGGCCACAUUGGGACUGAGAUACGGCCCAGACUCCUACGGGAGGCAGCAGUGGGGAAUAUUGCACAAUGGGCGGAAGCCUGAUGCAGCAACGCCGCGUGCGGGAUGACGGCCUUCGGGUUGUAACCGCUUUCGCCUGUGACGAAGCGUGAGUGACGGUAAUGGGUAAAGAAGCACCGGCUAACUACGUG
RNAcentral lists this ribosomal RNA (467 nucleotides) under uncultured bacterium. Its description in RNAcentral is "partial 16S ribosomal RNA". It matches the Rfam family "Bacterial small subunit ribosomal RNA", at positions 28 to 507 of the family's 1533-position model. The record is from RNAcentral.